RNAcentral lists this ribosomal RNA (392 nucleotides) under uncultured bacterium. RNAcentral describes it as "partial 16S ribosomal RNA". It matches the Rfam family "Bacterial small subunit ribosomal RNA", at positions 523 to 918 of the family's 1533-position model. The record is from RNAcentral.
AUACGGAGGAUCCAAGCGUUAUCCGGAUUUAUUGGGUUUAAAGGGUGCGCAGGCGGCCAUUUAAGUCAGCGGUUAAAUCGUGGGGCUCAACCCCAUUCUGCCGUUGAUACUGGGUGGCUUGAUUGCGGUCGAGGUUGGCGGAAUUCGUUGUGUAGCGGUGAAAUGCAUAGAUAUGACGAAGAACACCGAUUGCGUAGGCAGCUGACCAGAUCGCAAAUGACGCUCAUGCACGAAAGUGCGGGGAUCGAACAGGAUUAGAUACCCUGGUAGUCCGCACAGUAAACGAUGAAUACUUGUUUUCGGCGAUAUAAUGUCGGAGGCAAAGCGAAAGCGAUAAGUAUUCCACCUGGGGAGUACGCCGGCAACGGUGAAACUCAAAUGAAUUGGCGGGG